GCUUCUUCAAAGAGACUGCUUUUUGUGUUAGCAGUAGCUCUAAAAUGUAAGAGCUCACUUCUGCCUUCUGCCCUUCUGUCUGACCUUCGCCAGAUGCUGAUGCCAUACUCUUGGACUUCCUAGCUCCAGAGCCAUGAGCCAAAUAAACUUCUGUUCAUUGUAAACUA
Sapajus apella (tufted capuchin) is the source of this 167-nucleotide long non-coding RNA. RefSeq lists it as uncharacterized. The record is from RefSeq and is a predicted model, not a curated record. Lineage: Eukaryota; Metazoa; Chordata; Mammalia; Primates; Cebidae. The transcript has 2 exons.